This 2764-nucleotide ribosomal RNA is filed under the name Acidobacteriota bacterium. RNAcentral's name for it is "bacterial LSU rRNA". It matches the Rfam family "Bacterial large subunit ribosomal RNA". The record is from RNAcentral. Lineage: Bacteria; Pseudomonadati; Acidobacteriota.
UUAAGCUACUAAGGGCGUACGGUGGAUGCCUUGGCGCCAACAGACGAAGAAGGACGUGGCAAGCUGCGAUAAGCCUCGGGGAGCCGCAAGCAGGCUUUGAUCCGGGGAUUUCCGAAUAGGGAAACCUAUCCUGGUAAAACCAGGUUACGGCCCGCUGAAUACAUAGGCGGGUGCGAGUCAACCCAGGGAAGUGAACCAUCUCAGUACCUGGAGGAAAAUAAAUCAAUUGAGAUUCCGAUAGUAGCGGCGAGCGAAAUCGGAACAGCCCAAACCGGGGUGUUUACAUCCCGGGGUUGUAGGACCGCGUGAGUAGAGUUACCAAUCCGGAGGCUAGGUGAACCUGCUGGAAAGCAGGGUCAAAGAGGGUGAAAACCCCGUAACCGAAAGCUUACCGGACUCGAAGCGGUAUCCUGAGUACCACGGGGCACGAGAAACCCCGUGGGAAUCUGGGGAGACCACUCUCCAAGGCUAAAUACUCGUUNNNNNNNNNNNNNNNNNNNNNNNNNNNNUGUGGGAAUAGACGCGAAGCGGGAUGAUCUACCCUUGGCCAGGUUGAAGGUCGCUUAACCGCGACUGGAGGACCGAACCGGUGUGAGUUGAAAAUCGCUCGGAUGAGCUGAGGGUAGGGGUGAAAGGCUAAUCAAAUUCCGUGAUAGCUCGUUCUCCCCGAAAUGCCUUUAGGGGCAGCCUCGUAUGAUUUGCCACGGUGGUAGAGCACUGAAUGGACUAGGGUCCCAUCCAGGAUACCGAAUCCAAUCAAACUCCGAAUGCCGUGUACAACAGUACGGGAGUGAGACUACGGGGGAUAAGCUCCGUGGUCGAGAGGGAAAGAACCCAGACCGCCAGCUAAGGUCCCAAACUGCAGACUAAGUGGGAAAGGACGUGUGAGCGCACAGACAGCCAGGAGGUUGGCUUAGAAGCAGCCAUCCUUUAAAGAAAGCGUAACAGCUCACUGGUCAAGUGUUCACGCACCGACAAUCCAACGGGGCUAAGUCUGCGACCGAAGCUGCGGAAUUGACGAUUCCUACGGGAAUUCGUCAUUUGGUAGGGGAGCAUUCUAUUGUGUUCGACGGUAGAUCGAGAGAACUACUUGACGCAAUGGAAGAGACUCUGCCGGCAUAAGUAGCGAUAAACACGAUGAGAACUCGUGUCGCCGAAAGUCUAAGGUUUCCUGAGGAAGGUUAAUCCGCUCAGGGUUAGGCGGGUCCUAAGGUGAGGCCGAGAGGCGUAGCUGAUGGACAGCAGGUCAACAUUCCUGCCCCGCCAUACGAACGUUUGACGAUGGGGUGACGCAGAAGGAUAGGGGAGUCGGGUGAUGGACGUCCCGAUGUCUUGGUGUAAGCCGGAUCCCGCAGGAAAAUCCACGGGGUCAUUCAACGGUCAGACCAGGUCCGAGGCCACACGGCCACAAAGUCUCUGAUUUCACGCUGCCAGGAAAAACCUCUAAGGAGUUCGGAUGGUGCCCGUACCUCAAACCGACACAGGUAGACAAGGUGAAUAUCCACAGGCGCUCGAGAGAACGCUCGCUCAGGAACUAGGCACAUUAGCCCCGUAACUUCGGGAGAAGGGGUGCCCCGCUAGGGUUUAUAGCCCGAGGGGGCCGCAGUGAAAUGCGUUCGGCGACUGUUUAACAAAAACACAGCUCUCUGCUAAGUCGAAUACGACGUAUAGGGGGUGACGCCUGCCCGGUGCCGGAAGGUUAAAGGGAGGGCUUAGCUGCCGCAAGGCAGCGAAGGCUUGAUCUGAAGCCCCGGUGAACGGCGGCCGUAACUAUAACGGUCCUAAGGUAGCGAAAUUCCUUGUCGGGUAAGUUCCGACCUGCACGAAUGGCGUACCGAUCGAACGACUGUCUUGGCGAACGGCUCGGCGAAUUUGUGGUUCCGGUGAAGACGCCGGAUGCCCGCAUCUAGACGGAAAGACCCCGUGCACCUUAACUGCACUCUGGUCAUGAUUAACGGUACUGCCUGCGUAGGAUAGGUGGGAGCCUGGGAACCCUCGGUCUCGGCUGAGGGGGAGGCAACGGUGAAAUACCACCCUGAUAGUUCUGUCGCUCUAACUUACGGCCCUAGACGGGUCGAAGGACACGGCCAGACGGGUAGUUUGACUGGGGCGGUCGCCUCCUAAAUGGUAACGGAGGCGCUCAAAGCUCGGCUCAGGCGGAUUGGAAACCCGCCGUGGAGUGCAAGAGCAUAAGCCGGGUUGACUGCGAGACACACAGGUCGAGCAGGCACGAAAGUGGGAUCUAGUGAUCCGGUGGUUCUGCGUGGAAGGGCCAUCGCUCAACGGAUAAAAGGUACGCCGGGGAUAACAGGCUGAUCUAAGCCAAGAGUUCACAUCGACGCUUAGGUUUGGCACCUCGAUGUCGGCUCAUCGCAUCCUGGGGCUGUAGAAGGUCCCAAGGGUUAGGCUGUUCGCCUAUUAAAGCGGUACGUGAGCUGGGUUCAGAACGUCGCGAGACAGUUCGGUCCCUAUCUGGUGUGGGCGCAGGAAACUUGAGAGGAGCUGUCCCUAGUACGAGAGGACCGGGAUGGACGGACCUCUUGUGAUCGAGUUGUCACGCCAGUGGCAUCGCUCGGUAGCGAAGUCCGGAAGAGAUAAUCGCUGAAAGCAUCUAAGCGAGAAGCUCGCCUCGAGAUAAGGUUUCCCAACCCUCCUGCGGGGGGGUAAGAAGGCCAGUCGAAGACUACGACUUUGAUAGGCGGGAGGUGGAAGCGCAGUAAUGCGUGUAGCUAACCCGUACUAAUCGGCCGUUCGGCUUAACCAU